CGUCCGAGUUCAAAAUGAUUGUAAGUUCAAGCAUUUUGAAGGACGAGGAGACCUUUAAAAUUAUAUUCAAAAACUGGGAUUUCUUAACAUCAGGUUAAUUUUGACUUAUUUCAAAACUACCUGAGUUGCAGCCCUCCAUUCAACUCAGUUUCCACGAUACUCGUUCACUCAUGAGUGAAAGACAGAUAAGGUCGCUCGUAAUCCCAUAUUACUCUGACGUUUAUCGACUGUCCAUGUUUGUUUACCUAUGAUAUUAGUUCCCUCAACAGGUCCUUUUUCCGAAAGUUUCCGAAGAAAAGUGCGCACUUUUGAGCAAACUCCUUAUUCCACUAAUAGGUUUUGUUUGAAUAAUCGGUUGCAUUGGAAUUUGCAGGAAGAAAUUCAAAAAAAUCGAGCCGUUUUGGGUUUACGGAAAGGAGGAUACGUCGGGUUUCAUAUCAGCUGCUGAGAACACCCCGAGUAAUUUUCCGGUUUUGUCGGCCAGCUCGUAGGAACUCGUUCCAAUACGGGCUCGUACUGUGCAUGGCGUAUACAAUGGACCUAGCUUGGCAUUGUAAUUUUGAGGAACAGAUGAUUGGCGGAAGUUCCUUUUUAGAACAUUUUGACCAACCGUAUACGAUGGAGCUUUGACUUUGCUCCGUAAAUUAUAAUAAUUCUUAUUUUUCUCAUAAUGCUUUCGCAGAUUUUUGUAUACAAUGUCAUAAAUAGA
This is a long non-coding RNA of Topomyia yanbarensis, 709 nucleotides long. RefSeq lists it as uncharacterized. The transcript is spliced from 2 exons. NCBI's taxonomy places the organism in Eukaryota, Metazoa, Arthropoda, Insecta, Diptera, Culicidae. The record is from RefSeq and is a predicted model, not a curated record.